GAUGAACGCUGGCGGCGUGCCUAAUACAUGCAAGUCGAGCGAACAGACGAGGAGCUUGCUCCUCUGACGUUAGCGGCGGACGGGUGAGUAACACGUGGAUAACCUACCUAUAAGACUGGGAUAACUUCGGGAAACCGGAGCUAAUACCGGAUAAUAUAUUGAACCGCAUGGUUCAAUAGUGAAAGACGGUUUUGCUGUCACUUAUAGAUGGAUCCGCGCCGCAUUAGCUAGUUGGUAAGGUAACGGCUUACCAAGGCAACGAUGCGUAGCCGACCUGAGAGGGUGAUCGGCCACACUGGAACUGAGACACGGUCCAGACUCCUACGGGAGGCAGCAGUAGGGAAUCUUCGGCAAUGGGCGAAAGCUUGACGGAGCAACGCCGCGUGAGUGAUGAAGGUCUUCGGAUCGUAAAACUCUGUUAUUGGGGAAGAACAAAUGUGUAAGUAACUAUGCACGUCUUGACGGUACCUAAUCAGAAAGCCACGGCUAACUACGUG
This 497-nucleotide ribosomal RNA is filed under the name uncultured bacterium. RNAcentral describes it as "partial 16S ribosomal RNA". It matches the Rfam family "Bacterial small subunit ribosomal RNA", at positions 28 to 507 of the family's 1533-position model. The record is from RNAcentral.